This 1174-nucleotide small RNA is filed under the name Olea europaea subsp. europaea. Lineage: Eukaryota; Viridiplantae; Streptophyta; Magnoliopsida; Lamiales; Oleaceae. The record is from RNAcentral.
GCUUGAAUUUCAUUGAGAUUAUUACUUGCAAGUAAGACAUCAUCAACAUAUACCAAGAGCACCAUAAAUGAAUCAGCAGUAGUUUGAAGACAUAAUGAGGAAUUAGACUUGGUUUGUUGAAAUCCAUAUGAAAUGAGGCUGGUAGUGAGCUUUGCAAACCAUUUUCUAGAUGCAUGUUUGAGUUUGUGCUUUUAUUUAGUUUACAAACCAAGGAGGUGUCAUGAAUCGGAUAUCCCUGUGGUAACUCCUUAUAGACUUCCUCAUGUAAGUCACUUUGCAAAAAGGUAUUGUUGACAUUUAAUUGGUGUAAAAAAUAAUUGUUUACUGCUGUAAUAGCUAUAAGCAUACAUAACGAAGUCAAUUUUGAAACAGGAGAAAAGUGUUAAAAAAAUCUAGGCCUUCCUGUUGGGUAUAUCUCUGAGCCACCAGCCAUGCUUAUCUUUUCAUAGUCCCAUCUGCUUUAUACUUGACUUUAUAAACACUUGCUCCCAAUGGUAUGUUUGUCAUAUAGUAGAUGCAUAAAGGUCCAAAUAUUAAUCAUUUCAAGAGCUUUAACUUCACUAUUCAUACCUUCUUACCAAUGGAGAUAUUUAAUAGUUUGGUCAUAGAAUUUUGGUUCAAAAGUAUUAGAGAGUGAUGUAGUAAAGGCCUUGUGUUUGGGAACUAAAUGAUUAGUGGAAAUAUAGUGAGAUAAGGGAUAUGGUUUACUAGAUGUACAUGGUCUAGCCAGCAUUGUAGAAGGCUGGACUAGUGUGGAAGAAAAAGGUAAAUUACACUAAUAAUCAUUUAGGUAAGGAGACAAAUGUCUGAUUCUGUUAGAUCUUCUAGGAGGAGGUUGGAAAUAAGAGAUGGGUAGAUUGUUUGGCAACUCAGGAUAGUUUAAAGGAGUGUUUGAGGGAGGAGAAAUGAGUCGGUCAAUUUCUGAACCCUCGUGACAUUUGAAAGCUUUUUAUUUGGUAAAACUUCAUGUAUGCAUAUGGAUGCACUGACGUUCUUGAAUAUGUCAUGAUAAUCAUUAAUAACAUAAUAAUCAAAUAUUAAGAUCACAUAAUAACCAAUUUCAAGUAACACAUUUAUACAUUUAAUAAUAUAAACCUUGAAUCCUAACAAUAUCCUUUUCUUGAAUGACAAGUGACGAUCCUCCGAACCACUCAAGAAAUCAACGUGCCCAAAA